Molecule: ribosomal RNA, 238 nt
Filed under: uncultured Actinomycetales bacterium
Lineage: Bacteria; Bacillati; Actinomycetota; Actinomycetes; Actinomycetales
Description: partial 16S ribosomal RNA
Rfam family: Bacterial small subunit ribosomal RNA
Source: RNAcentral
CGAGUGGCGAACGGGUGAGUAACACGUGGGUGAUCUGCCCUGCACUUCGGGAUAAGCCUGGGAAACUGGGUCUAAUACCGGAUAGGACGAUGGUUUGGAUGCCAUUGUGGAAAGUUUUUCGGUGUGGGAUGAGCUCGCGGCCUAUCAGCUUGUUGGUGGGGUAAUGGCCUACCAAGGCGUCGACGGGUAGCCGGCCUGAGAGAGUGUACGGCCACAUUGGGACUGAGAUACGGCCCAG